RNAcentral lists this ribosomal RNA (890 nucleotides) under uncultured bacterium. Its description in RNAcentral is "bacterial SSU rRNA". It matches the Rfam family "Bacterial small subunit ribosomal RNA", at positions 23 to 885 of the family's 1533-position model. The record is from RNAcentral.
CUCAGAACGAACGCUGGCGGCGUGGAUAAGACAUGCAAGUCGAGCGAUCAUAACGGGGUAGCAAUAUUCCGUUGUGGGAGCGGCGCAAGGGUGCGUAACACGUGGGCAAUCUGCCGUGAAGUUUGGGAUAAUCCCGCGAAAGCGGGACUAAUACCGGAUGUGGCCAUUGGGAGGCAUCUUCUGAUGGCUGAAGUUGGGGACCGCAAGGCCUGACGCUUCACGAUGAGCCCGCGGCCUAUCAGCUAGUUGGUGAGGUAACGGCUCACCAAGGCUAAGACGGGUAGCUGGUCUGAGAGGACGACCAGCCACACUGGAACUGAGACACGGUCCAGACACCUACGGGUGGCAGCAGUCGAGAAUUUUUCACAAUGGGCGCAAGCCUGAUGGAGCGACGCCGCGUGGGGGAUGAAUGGCUUCGGCCCGUAAACCCCUGUCAUUUGCGAUCAACCCUCAUUAUUUAAAAGAUGAUGAGCUGAUGGUAGCGAAAGAGGAAGGGACGGCUAACUCUGUGCCAGCAGCCGCGGUAAUACAGAGGUCCCGAGCGUUGUUCGGAUUCACUGGGCGUAAAGGGUGCGUAGGUGGUGGGGUAAGUCGGAUGUGAAAGCUCGGAGCUCAACUCCGAAAUGGCAUUGGAAACUGCCCUGCUAGAGGGUCGGAGGGGGGACUGGAAUUCUCGGUGUAGCAGUGAAAUGCGUAGAUAUCGAGAGGAACACCAGUGGCGAAGGCGAGUCCCUGGACGACACCUGACACUGAGGCACGAAAGCUAGGGGAGCAAACAGGAUUAGAUACCCUGGUAGUCCUAGCCGUAAACGGUGCACGUUUGCUGUAAGAGGAAUCGACCCCUUUUGUGGCGUAGCCAACGCGUUAAACGUGCCGCCUGGGAAGUACGG